AGUGAACGCUGGCGGUAGGCCUAACACAUGCAAGUCGAACGGCAGCACAGUAAGAGCUUGCUCUUACGGGUGGCGAGUGGCGGACGGGUGAGGAAUACAUCGGAAUCUACUUUUUCGUGGGGGAUAACGUAGGGAAACUUACGCUAAUACCGCAUACGACCUACGGGUGAAAGCAGGGGAUCUUCGGACCUUGCGCGAUUGAAUGAGCCGAUGUCGGAUUAGCUAGUUGGCGGGGUAAAGGCCCACCAAGGCGACGAUCCGUAGCUGGUCUGAGAGGAUGAUCAGCCACACUGGAACUGAGACACGGUCCAGACUCCCACGGGAGGGCGCAGGGGGGAAAAUUUGGCAAUGGGGGGAAACCUUGUCCAGCCCAUCCGCGUGGGGGAAAAAGGCCCUUCGGGUUGAAAGCCCUUUUUGUUGGGAAAAAAAGAAGGAAGGUAAAAACCCCCCUUUUUGACCGGUCCCAAAGAAAAAGGCCCCGCUAACUUCGUG
This 492-nucleotide ribosomal RNA is filed under the name uncultured bacterium. RNAcentral's name for it is "partial 16S ribosomal RNA". It matches the Rfam family "Bacterial small subunit ribosomal RNA", at positions 29 to 507 of the family's 1533-position model. The record is from RNAcentral.